GGGGCUGUAGCUCAGUGGUAGAGCGUCUCAUUUGCAUUGAGAAGGUCUAGGGUUCAAUCCCCUACCGCUCCA
Molecule: non-coding RNA, 72 nt
Organism: Ustilago bromivora
Lineage: Eukaryota; Fungi; Basidiomycota; Ustilaginomycetes; Ustilaginales; Ustilaginaceae
Source: the annotation of a GenBank genome assembly